UGCGUUACGGCAAUACGUAAUUAGACGGAAAUAGCCGAGUGUCAUUACGCCUUUAAAGGAAUCUAAUACCUUUUCAGUAAGUAUUUUGAAUACAAUGAAAUAAAAAUUAUGAAACCUCAUUGGACAACUUACUUUAGAAUACGUUUGUUCCUCUGUUGAAGAGGACGGACUAAUUUGAUUUUUUUUCUUUUACUCUUCAGGCGUAAUUGCUUUCUAAAAUUCAUUAUUUAUAUGAUAUGAAUUGUAAUUUGGAUAUCUCGCUUUUUGUAAAGUAAAAAUAUUGUUUGGUAUCUGUUAGCUAAUACAUGCUCUAUUAUGUAUCUUUAACAGUUUUAUUCUGUGCAAACUUGGUCUGAAUAUUGGCAUAGGUUUUGUUUUUCGAAAGAAAGGCGCUGUUGAAGGCGCUAAGCCUGUUUAACCUGAUCGCGACGUCUGCUUCAUACCUAUUUAAGUUGUAUGGAAAUGUUUUAUCGUUUUUCUGAUAUUCUAAGACUGUUAGUGUCGCCACAAGUACCAAUGAAGCUUACGUUGUCAACGUCACAAAUAGUGGACCCAGCAUAGAGACGUAUUACAUCACAGCAUUUUACGUUUACGUUGCUGACGUCAAUAGGAUUAGGAAACGUGUCACCAAAUACUAACGCCGAGGAAAUAUUCUCAACAUUUGCUGUUCUGCUUGGUUGUAAAGAUGAUAUAUUUUGCGGUGUCACGGUGACCUAGAAUUGACGGGAAAAUCGCUCUACUUUGUACUUGCACUUAGAUCAUACUGUGAUAUAAACAAGACAGAGUCACAUAUGCUGAAAGAAACUCUGAAUACUUCACCAGAAUUUUCGGACAAAAAAAUCAUGGAUGAAUCACAAGGUCAAUUUUAAGCGGCUCGACAAAGUGGGCGAUCUAACUGGCGCAGAAGAAUGACUAGCACGGUACCGCAGAUUGGAGAUGAGCCGACAUUUAGCCUAUAGCAAUAUAAAUACAGCGUUCAAAGACAAAUCAGUGAAAAUUUUCAGCUAUUAAAACAGUGCCACAGUUCGUUUCCGGCGGAACUAACAUAUCAUUCUGGGAAACAUCAGACGAUGGGGCGCCCACUUGUAGUCGUCCACGUUCCUUGGAAGCUGAUGAUACAGCGCCACAUGUUAAGGUGAGACAAACGUCACUGUCAAGUCUCGUAGAAGUCGUCUGCAAACUAAAGUAUUAGCAAGACAAUGAUGAAAGCAGAUAUUCUAAAGACAGCCAGAUUACUACGCUAACUCCGUGUGAUGAUGCGCAUUCAAUAAUUUACAUAGUGUUGUGCAGCCGUACUACUUUUGUUAAUUGCUAUGUUCUUUCUGGUAGAACAUUAGCUACUGUGUAUUAUGCAAUCGUAUACUGGGAGCAACUACACUUGGACAAAAGCCACAGGUUUUAAAGAGUUUCCCGGAGUGCCUUCAAGCAAAUAUAUAACUUCAUUUGAACAGAAACUUGCUGAAUAAGUGCCCAGCGUUCCAGAAGGCAUUUACAGGAUAUCUUCGUGUCUUAUCUAUGCAGUACGCCCCCUGGUGACACAUUGCUACAUCCGGGUGAUAUACUGACAGCUCUCUAUCUGCAUGCGGUUCAUUGGAGAUUGUUACAGUAAAAUAUUUGGUACAGCGAUAUGAGAUGCUGAAGUGUUUCUUCGUUUGACACCAGCUAGACAAAGUGGGCGAUUUCCCUGCUAGCACGGGACCGCAGAUAGGAGAAGAUGAGCCGACCUCUAUGACAUUCUAAAUGCUCUGCAGCAAGCUUCUGGUGACACAAAUACAGCGUCCAAAGACAGAUCAGU
This is a long non-coding RNA of Mercenaria mercenaria, 1795 nucleotides long. RefSeq lists it as uncharacterized. Lineage: Eukaryota; Metazoa; Mollusca; Bivalvia; Venerida; Veneridae. The record is from RefSeq and is a predicted model, not a curated record. The transcript has 8 exons.